UCCCAUGUGGUCUAGUGGUAAGGAUUCCUGGCUCUCACCCAGGCUCUCACCCAGGUUCGAUUCCCGGCAUGGGAU
Molecule: transfer RNA, 75 nt
Filed under: Trichonephila clavata
Lineage: Eukaryota; Metazoa; Arthropoda; Arachnida; Araneae; Nephilidae
Rfam family: tRNA
About the family: Transfer RNA (tRNA) molecules are approximately 80 nucleotides in length.
Source: Rfam by way of RNAcentral